UACGGGGGGAGCAAGCGUUGUUCGGAUUUACUGGGCGUAAAGGGCGCGUAGGCGGUCGUGACAAGUCACUUGUGAAAUCUCCGGGCUUAACUCGGAACGGUCAAGUGAUACUGUCGGACUAGAGUACAGAAGGGGCAACUGGAAUUCUCGGUGUAGCGGUGAAAUGCGUAGAUAUCGAGAGGAACACCUGCGGCGAAGGCGGGUUGCUGGGCUGAUACUAACGCUGAGGCGCGAAAGCCAGGGGAGCGAACGGG
Molecule: ribosomal RNA, 254 nt
Filed under: uncultured bacterium
Lineage: Bacteria
Description: partial 16S ribosomal RNA
Rfam family: Bacterial small subunit ribosomal RNA
Source: RNAcentral